CCUCAUAAAUUUGUCUUACUGUU
RNAcentral lists this non-coding RNA (23 nucleotides) under Cricetulus griseus (Chinese hamster). The record is from RNAcentral. Lineage: Eukaryota; Metazoa; Chordata; Mammalia; Rodentia; Cricetidae.